Molecule: ribosomal RNA, 459 nt
Filed under: uncultured bacterium
Lineage: Bacteria
Description: partial 16S ribosomal RNA
Rfam family: Bacterial small subunit ribosomal RNA
Source: RNAcentral
CCUACGGGAGGCAGCAGUGAGGAAUAUUGGUCAAUGGUCGGGAGACUGAACCAGCCAAGCCGCGUGAGGGAUGAAGGUACAGAGUAUCGUAAACCUCUUUUGUCAGGGAACAAAGGCGGGGCCGUGUCCCCGGAUGAGUGUACCUGAAGAAACAGCAUCGGCUAACUCCGUGCCAGCAGCCGCGGUAAUACGGGGGAUGCGAGCGUUAUCCGGAUUUAUUGGGUUUACAGGGUGCGCAGGCGGUCUGUUAAGUCAGCGGUCAAAGCCCGGGGCACAACCCCGGCCCGCCGUUGAAACUGGCAGUCGCGAGUUGGAGAGAAGUAUGCGGAAUGAGCGGUGUAGCGGUGAAAUGCAUAGAUAUCGCGCAGAACUCCGAUUGCGAAGGCAGCAUGCCGGCUCCACACUGACGCUGAGGCACGAAAGCGUGGGUAUCGAACAGGAUUAGAUACCCCUGUAGUC